GCGGGCGUAGCUCAAUGGCUAGAGCGUCAGCCUUCCAAGCUGAAUGUUGUGAGUUCGACUCUCAUCGCCCGCU
RNAcentral lists this transfer RNA (73 nucleotides) under Planctomycetota bacterium. Its description in RNAcentral is "Planctomycetes bacterium tRNA-Gly". It matches the Rfam family "tRNA". From Rfam's summary of the family: Transfer RNA (tRNA) molecules are approximately 80 nucleotides in length. Their secondary structure includes four short double-helical elements and three loops (D, anti-codon, and T loops). Further hydrogen bonds mediate the characteristic L-shaped molecular structure. tRNAs have two regions of fundamental functional importance: the anti-codon, which is responsible for specific mRNA codon recognition, and the 3' end, to which the tRNAs corresponding amino acid is attached (by aminoacyl-tRNA synthetases). tRNAs cope with the degeneracy of the genetic code in two manners: having more than one tRNA (with a specific anti-codon) for a particular amino acid; and 'wobble' base-pairing, i.e. permitting non-standard base-pairing at the 3rd anti-codon position. The record is from RNAcentral. Lineage: Bacteria; Pseudomonadati; Planctomycetota.